CGGUAGAGAGAAGCUUGCUUCUCUUGAGAGCGGCGGACGGGUGAGUAAUGCCUAGGAAUCUGCCUGGUAGUGGGGGAUAACGUUCGGAAACGGACGCUAAUACCGCAUACGUCCUACGGGAGAAAGCAGGGGACCUUCGGGCCUUGCGCUAUCAGAUGAGCCUAGGUCGGAUUAGCUAGUUGGUGGGGUAAUGGCUCACCAAGGCGACGAUCCGUAACUGGUCUGAGAGGAUGAUCAGUCACACUGGAACUGAGACACGGUCCAGACUCCUACGGGAGGCAGCAGUGGGGAAUAUUGGACAAUGGGCGAAAGCCUGAUCCAGCCAUGCCGCGUGUGUGAAGAAGGUCUUCGGAUUGUAAAGCACUUUAAGUUGGGAGGAAGGGCCGUUACCUAAUACGUGAUGGUUUUGACGUUACCGACAGAAUAAGCACCGGCUAACUCUGUGCCAGCAGCCGCGGUAAUACAGAGGGUGCAAGCGUUAAUCGGAAUUACUGGGCGUAAAGCGCGCGUAGGUGGUUUGUUAAGUUGGAUGUGAAAUCCCCGGGCUCAACCUGGGAACUGCAUUCAAAACUGACUGACUAGAGUAUGGUAGAGGGUGGUGGAAUUUCCUGUGUAGCGGUGAAAUGCGUAGAUAUAGGAAGGAACACCAGUGGCGAAGGCGACCACCUGGACUGAUACUGACACUGAGGUGCGAAAGCGUGGGGAGCAAACAGGAUUAGAUACCCUGGUAGUCCACGCCGUAAACGAUGUCAACUAGCCGUUGGGAGCCUUGAGCUCUUAGUGGCGCAGCUAACG
RNAcentral lists this ribosomal RNA (795 nucleotides) under Pseudomonas sp. 162(2011). RNAcentral's name for it is "bacterial SSU rRNA". It matches the Rfam family "Bacterial small subunit ribosomal RNA", at positions 67 to 857 of the family's 1533-position model. Lineage: Bacteria; Pseudomonadati; Pseudomonadota; Gammaproteobacteria; Pseudomonadales; Pseudomonadaceae. The record is from RNAcentral.